Molecule: ribosomal RNA, 279 nt
Filed under: uncultured Glomus
Lineage: Eukaryota; Fungi; Glomeromycota; Glomeromycetes; Glomerales; Glomeraceae
Description: partial 18S small subunit ribosomal RNA
Rfam family: Eukaryotic small subunit ribosomal RNA
Source: RNAcentral
CCAAUAGCGUAUAUUAAAGUUGUUGCAGUUAAAAAGCUCGUAGUUGAAUUUCGGGAUCAGUACGCUGGUCAUGCCUUUGGUAUGCACUGGUGUCACUGGUUUCUCCCUUCUGAAGAACCGUGAUGUCAUUAAUUUGGUGUCGCGGGGAAUCAGGACUGUUACUUUGAAAAAAUUAGAGUGUUUAAAGCAGGCUCACGCUUGAAUACAUUAGCAUGGAAUAAUGAAAUAGGACGUUUGACCCUAUUUUGUUGGUUUCUAGGAUCGACGUAAUGAUUAAUA